GACUCUUUUCCACAUCCCCCUGCCUUUUCCGAGAAAAGGACAGUUAGUGCCUGGACCAGGACCAUCACACUGGGGACCGGCUUCUCUGCUCUCCCGUUAUGGGGGUCGGGGGAAUGAUGGGUCAAGGGUCUUCCGAAGAAAGCGAGAAAGGAACAGGCGCCUUCAAAAGCCCACUUGGCGAUGGGUUACAGUAAGAGCGUUGCUCCCUGCUUGGCUGAGCACUGCGGAGUUUCACGCCUCUAAACCCCGCCUCUUCUUGCAACCUGUGUUGGCCUCAUCUACCCAGCAACUGUCGACGUCACACGACCUGGGCCUCCCUGAAUGGGAGAUAUUUACUAGGCAAUCCCGCCUACUGUUCUGAGGUUUCCCCUCCAGGUGCAGCUUCAGAGCCAGGCGAGCCAGGAAGGACCAGCGGGCGAGGUGGAAGUCUGCAUUAUCACGAGGAGCUUGGAAAGGAGGUAACACACUCAAGGCAAAUUUCAAGUAACUCAUCCUGGAGGCAGCUGCCUACUCUGCAGCUGUGGUUCUCCACCACAGAGAGAAGAAAAGGGAGGGAGAUGGAGUGCGCAGGUCUGAGAAGGCUUUCAUUCUGGAGCAUCUGCAGGAGCCUGCACCAUGGCCCAGUAGCACCCCUUUUUCUCCAUGAGCUGCUGGUGGGUUCCCCCCUCCCGGAUAGCGCCUCCUUCCAGAAAGAGGAUGUGGUCAGCCUGCUCCACCAGGCUGAGGUGCUGGGUGAUGAGAAGCACUGAGCGGGAGUACCGCUCAGGGCUUUCGUACAGGAGCUGCUCCACCUGAGGAAAGACAUCGGACCGUCAGAGCCGGGGACUACCCUCAGCCCAGGGAGACACCUGUGUUUCCAGGGCUGGGACUGACCUCACAGGAUCACUGCUGGCUCUGCUAACAACCCCAAGGACACCAACGUUUCCCAUUCUGAGUACUUCUCCGCAAACCCUUUGUUUCAUUAAGGACUGUUUUACAUGAAGGGUGCAAAAGUAGGAUAAAAAUGAGAACCCUAGGGUGAAACACGUGACAGAAGAAUAAAGACUAUUGAAUAGUCCUCUUCUCUACCCAUGGACUUGGCAUUUUUAUAUUCGAUUUUAAGGAAAUAUAACUUAGUAGUAAAGAGAUGAGCAUUCAAGUCAGGCAGACCUGAAUUUGGGUCAAGGCUGCGCCACUCAAAAGCUAUAUGACCUCUAUAUGAGCAGCUUAUUCAACCUCU
RNAcentral lists this long non-coding RNA (1219 nucleotides) under Homo sapiens (human). RNAcentral describes it as "PSMB8 antisense RNA 1". The record is from RNAcentral. Lineage: Eukaryota; Metazoa; Chordata; Mammalia; Primates; Hominidae.